Non-coding RNA from Schistosoma mattheei, 33 nucleotides. Lineage: Eukaryota; Metazoa; Platyhelminthes; Trematoda; Strigeidida; Schistosomatidae. The record is from Rfam.
AGUCCCAAACAGGACGAAACGCGCGUCCUGGAU